GCUGUUGGCCACAGCUGAAGUUAGUGGUUGUUGACUGGAAGCAGGGUGCUGAUUCUCAUUCUGAUACAUAGAAAAUCCAGAGGAACCUGGUUUAAGGGUCCUGCUCUUCUGCUUAAAGACAUAUUGAUGGGAGAUGACUGCAUAAUAGUUCAAAAUGAAGUCUUGUUCAUUUGGCUUAUGAAGACGGGGGCACAGGUGGUCUUCUCGUUGAUCCUCCUGGCCAGCGGUCGCAGUAGGCAUCAUGUCACCUGUGUCAGAGAAGUCAAGCUGCAGUUCCAGAGUCGGUGCCAUCAUGCAGGUUUUGGCUUCCUGGACCACGAUCUGCUCUUCCAUACAAGGGAGCUCCUGGGACUCAAUGGGCUUCAUCUCUCCAGAAAAGUGACAGCCCGCUUCUGACUCUAGAGCCUCCUAUCAAGCAUGAGUCACGAGACCCGCUUCUGACUCUAGAGCCUCCUAUCAAGCAAAAGUGCACAUUCAGCUUGUACCUUGGUGGAGUUUACAAGCUACAUCUUCCAAAAUACAUCAGCAUACUUCCAACCUUGUGUAUCCCUGCUCACCCUGAUAUGGACCAGAAGAAUAGUCCUCCCUCUUUCUACAGUCUUUCUCAACUGUGCCACCCUAUGACACAAUGUUUCUAUUAUAAUUUAAGUACUGAGAGUACAUUUGAAGAACUCUUGCUUCAGAAAGUACUGAUUCAAUUGGCAAAUUGUUGAGCAGAGUAAUACACAGCUAGAAAUGCAAAGAUACAAAACUUCAUAAUAUAUUUGAAAGUUACCUUUAUGUCUGAUGGGGGAUUUAUUGACAUCAAGAAUUUCAGUAGCACUUACCCAAUCUUUGUUAAUUAGAACUGCAGUGAAGUGUUUGCGUUGUUGGUGAACUAGUAAAUGCUUCUCACAUAAGCUGACAUUUACUCACGUGUCAUCAUGAGUCUACAAAGUUUUGAUGCAAAAUAAAACAAACUGAAAAUCAGGCCAAAUGAGAGGAAGAGGCAGAAA
This is a long non-coding RNA of Alligator mississippiensis (American alligator), 995 nucleotides long. RefSeq lists it as uncharacterized. The record is from RefSeq and is a predicted model, not a curated record. The transcript is spliced from 3 exons. NCBI's taxonomy places the organism in Eukaryota, Metazoa, Chordata, Crocodylia, Alligatoridae.